AGCCAUCUCAGGGAGUGGGUUCAUAGCAGGACACCAGCACGCUGUCAGUGCCUACUUCCAAAUUAGGAAGGAAACCUAGAAGCCCUGGAGUAAAUAAAGGAUGAGAAAAGACAAAUCCCAAAGGAAGGGUUCUGUUCAUCUCUCUGCUCAGAUAGGGAAACAAAGGGUCACUGAGUUACAUUUCCUGCCCCCUGUUAAGAUUUUGGAGAGACAGAAAUUGCUUUCUGAGGACAGCCCCACCCAACAAUUAUCCUGGAGUUUCAGAAAAGCAAGAAAAUAUUUCACAGAAGAUGCCCAGAUGUUCCCUUCUAACAGUGAUAGUGUUGCCUGCAAGUGGACUACAAGAUAA
This 349-nucleotide long non-coding RNA is filed under the name Monodelphis domestica (gray short-tailed opossum). RNAcentral's name for it is "lncRNA (ENSMODG00000038236.1)". Lineage: Eukaryota; Metazoa; Chordata; Mammalia; Didelphimorphia; Didelphidae. The record is from RNAcentral.